GAUGAACGCUGGCGGCGUGCCUAAUACAUGCAAGUCGAGCGAACGGACGCGAAGCUUGCUUCUCUGAUGUUAGCGGCGGACGGGUGAGUAACACGUGGAUACCCUACCUAUCUGACUGGGAUAACUUCGGGAAACCGUAGCUAAUACCGGAUAAUCUUUUGCACCGCAUGGUUCAAAAGUGAAAGACGGUCUUGCUGUCACUUAUCGCUGGAUCCCCGCUGCAUUAGCUAGUUGGUAAGGUAACGGCUUACCAAGGCAACGAUGCAUAGCCGACCUGAGAGGGUGAUCGGCCACACUGGAGCUGGGACGCGGUCCAGGCUCCUACGGGAGGCAGCAGUAGGGAAUCUUCCGCAAUGGGCGAAAGCCUGACGGAGCAACGCCGCGUGAGUGAUGAAGGUCUUCGGAGCGUAAAACUCUGUUAUUAGGGAAGAACAUAUGUGUAAGUAACUGUGCACAUCUUGACGGUACCUAAUCAGAAAGCCACGGCUAACUACGUG
RNAcentral lists this ribosomal RNA (497 nucleotides) under uncultured bacterium. Its description in RNAcentral is "partial 16S ribosomal RNA". It matches the Rfam family "Bacterial small subunit ribosomal RNA", at positions 28 to 507 of the family's 1533-position model. The record is from RNAcentral.